Molecule: ribosomal RNA, 421 nt
Filed under: uncultured bacterium
Lineage: Bacteria
Description: partial 16S ribosomal RNA
Rfam family: Bacterial small subunit ribosomal RNA
Source: RNAcentral
AAUUUUGGACAACGGGGGGAACCCUGAUUCCGCCAUCCCGCGUGUAUGAUGAAGCCCUUUGCGUCGUAAAGUACUGUCGACAGGGACGAAACGGCACCACCUAAAACUACGUGUUCAUGACGGUACCCGUAGAAUAAGCACCGGAUAACUACGUGCCAGCAGCCGCGGUAAUACGUAGGGUGCAAGCGUUAAUCGGAAUUACUGGGCGUAAAGGGUACGCAGGCGGCUAGGAAAGAAGGAUGUGAAAUCCAAGAGCUCAGGCUUGGAACUGCAUUCUUAACUGCCUAACUAGAGUAAGUCAGAGGGGGGUAGAAUUCAACGUGUAGCAGUGAAAUGCGUAGAUAUGUGGAGGAAUACCGAUGGCGAAGGCAGCCCCCUGGGAUAAUACUGACGCUCAGGUACGAAAGCGUGGGGAGCAAAC